CAAUAACUCCCUCUGUCCCAAAUUUCUUGUCUUAGAUUUGUCUAGAUACGGAUGUAUCUAAUACUGUCUAGAUAUGGAUGUAUCUAAUACUAAAAUGUGACUUGAUACAUCUGUAUCUAGACAAAUCUAUACAUCCUUAUCUAGACAAAUAUAAGACAAGAAUUUUGGGAUGGAGGGAGUACUUU
Molecule: non-coding RNA, 185 nt
Organism: Triticum aestivum (bread wheat)
Lineage: Eukaryota; Viridiplantae; Streptophyta; Magnoliopsida; Poales; Poaceae
Source: Rfam